Molecule: ribosomal RNA, 1549 nt
Filed under: Leclercia sp. W17
Lineage: Bacteria; Pseudomonadati; Pseudomonadota; Gammaproteobacteria; Enterobacterales; Enterobacteriaceae
Description: 16S ribosomal RNA
Rfam family: Bacterial small subunit ribosomal RNA
Source: RNAcentral
AAAUUGAAGAGUUUGAUCAUGGCUCAGAUUGAACGCUGGCGGCAGGCCUAACACAUGCAAGUCGAACGGUAGCACAGAGAGCUUGCUCUCGGGUGACGAGUGGCGGACGGGUGAGUAAUGUCUGGGAAACUGCCUGAUGGAGGGGGAUAACUACUGGAAACGGUAGCUAAUACCGCAUAACGUCGCAAGACCAAAGAGGGGGACCUUCGGGCCUCUUGCCAUCGGAUGUGCCCAGAUGGGAUUAGCUAGUAGGUGGGGUAAUGGCUCACCUAGGCGACGAUCCCUAGCUGGUCUGAGAGGAUGACCAGCCACACUGGAACUGAGACACGGUCCAGACUCCUACGGGAGGCAGCAGUGGGGAAUAUUGCACAAUGGGCGCAAGCCUGAUGCAGCCAUGCCGCGUGUAUGAAGAAGGCCUUCGGGUUGUAAAGUACUUUCAGCGAGGAGGAAGGCAUUGUGGUUAAUAACCACAGUGAUUGACGUUACUCGCAGAAGAAGCACCGGCUAACUCCGUGCCAGCAGCCGCGGUAAUACGGAGGGUGCAAGCGUUAAUCGGAAUUACUGGGCGUAAAGCGCACGCAGGCGGUCUGUUAAGUCAGAUGUGAAAUCCCCGGGCUCAACCUGGGAACUGCAUUUGAAACUGGCAGGCUUGAGUCUUGUAGAGGGGGGUAGAAUUCCAGGUGUAGCGGUGAAAUGCGUAGAGAUCUGGAGGAAUACCGGUGGCGAAGGCGGCCCCCUGGACAAAGACUGACGCUCAGGUGCGAAAGCGUGGGAGCAAACAGGAUUAGAUACCCUGGUAGUCCACGCCGUAAACGAUGUCGACUUGGAGGUUGUGCCCUUGAGGCGUGGCUUCCGGAGCUAACGCGUUAAGUCGACCGCCUGGGGAGUACGGCCGCAAGGUUAAAACUCAAAUGAAUUGACGGGGGCCCGCACAAGCGGUGGAGCAUGUGGUUUAAUUCGAUGCAACGCGAAGAACCUUACCUACUCUUGACAUCCAGAGAACUUGCCAGAGAUGGCUUGGUGCCUUCGGGAACUCUGAGACAGGUGCUGCAUGGCUGUCGUCAGCUCGUGUUGUGAAAUGUUGGGUUAAGUCCCGCAACGAGCGCAACCCUUAUCCUUUGUUGCCAGCGGUCCGGCCGGGAACUCAAAGGAGACUGCCAGUGAUAAACUGGAGGAAGGUGGGGAUGACGUCAAGUCAUCAUGGCCCUUACGAGUAGGGCUACACACGUGCUACAAUGGCGCAUACAAAGAGAAGCGACCUCGCGAGAGCAAGCGGACCUCAUAAAGUGCGUCGUAGUCCGGAUUGGAGUCUGCAACUCGACUCCAUGAAGUCGGAAUCGCUAGUAAUCGUAGAUCAGAAUGCUACGGUGAAUACGUUCCCGGGCCUUGUACACACCGCCCGUCACACCAUGGGAGUGGGUUGCAAAAGAAGUAGGUAGCUUAACCUUCGGGAGGGCGCUUACCACUUUGUGAUUCAUGACUGGGGUGAAGUCGUAACAAGGUAACCGUAGGGGAACCUGCGGUUGGAUCACCUCCUUACCUUAAAGAA